GUGGGAAAAGCUCAACUUUGUAAUCUGGCAGCUUCGCUGUCCGAGUUGUAGUCUCGAGAAGUGUUUUCCGCGCUGGAUCGUGUAUGAGUCUGUUGGAAUACAGCGUCAUAGAGGGUGAGAACCCCGUUCGUGACACGACUACCAGUGCUUUGUGAUACAUUUUCGAUGAGUCGAGUUGUUUGGGAAUGCAGCUCAAAUUGGGUGGUAAAUUCCAUCUAAAGCUAAAUAUUGGCGAGAGACCGAUAGCAAACAAGUACCGUGAGGGAAAGAUGAAAAGCACUUUGGAAAGAGAGUUAACAGUACGUGAAAUUGUUGAAAGGGAAACGUUUGAAGUCAGACGUGCGUUGUGCGAUUCAGCUCCGGUUCGCCGGAGUGUAUUUCGUACUAUUGCAGGCCAGCAUCGGUUUGGCGAGCCGGAUAAAGGUUAGAGAAAGGUAGCGGUCCAGGCCGUGUUAUAGUCUUUAACUGAAUACGGAUUGCUAGACCGAGGGACGCACGCGCCGCAAGGCAAAGCUUUCGGGCUUUUCGCGCUUAGGAUGCUGGUGAAAUGGCUUUAAAUGACCCGUC
Molecule: ribosomal RNA, 567 nt
Filed under: Symmetrospora marina
Lineage: Eukaryota; Fungi; Basidiomycota; Cystobasidiomycetes; Symmetrosporaceae
Description: partial large subunit ribosomal RNA
Rfam family: Eukaryotic large subunit ribosomal RNA
Source: RNAcentral